This 446-nucleotide ribosomal RNA is filed under the name uncultured bacterium. Its description in RNAcentral is "bacterial SSU rRNA". It matches the Rfam family "Bacterial small subunit ribosomal RNA", at positions 330 to 793 of the family's 1533-position model. The record is from RNAcentral.
GCCAGACUCCUACGGGAGGCAGCAGUGGGGGAUAUUGCACAAUGGGGGAAACCCUGAUGCAGCAACGCCGCGUGAGUGAAGAAGUAUUUCGGUAUGUAAAGCUCUAUCAGCAGGGAAGAGAAUGACGGUACCUGACUAAGAAGCCCCGGCUAACUACGUGCCAGCAGCCGCGGUAAUACGUGGGGGGCGAGCGUUAUCCGGAUUUACUGGGUGUAAAGGGAGCGUAGACGGCUGGUCAAGUCUGAAGUGAAAGCCCGGGGCUUAACCCCGGAACGGCUUUGGAAACUGAGCAGCUAGAGUGCUGGAGAGGUAAGCGGAAUUCCUAGUGUAGCGGUGAAAUGCGUAGAUAUUAGGAGGAACACCAGUGGCGAAGGCGGUCUGUUGGACAGCAACUGACGCUGAGGCGCGAAAGCGUGGGGAGCAAACAGGAUUAGAUACCCGAGUAC